RNAcentral lists this ribosomal RNA (497 nucleotides) under uncultured bacterium. RNAcentral describes it as "bacterial SSU rRNA". It matches the Rfam family "Bacterial small subunit ribosomal RNA", at positions 28 to 519 of the family's 1533-position model. The record is from RNAcentral.
GACGAACGCUGGCGGCGUGCUUAACACAUGCAAGUCGAGCGGUAACAGGUGUAGCAAUACAUGCUGACGAGCGGCGAACGGGUGAGUAAUGCUUCGGAAUCUACCCAAUGGUGGGGAAUAACCAGCCGAAAGGUUGGCUAAUACCGCAUACGUCCCACGGGAGAAAGCAGGGGAUCGCAAGACCUUGCGCCAAUGGAUGAGCCGAAGUCGGAUUAGCUAGUUGGUAGGGAACGGCCUACCAAGGCGACGAUCCGUAGCUGGUCUGAGAGGACGACCAGCCACACUGGGACUGAGACACGGCCCAGACUCCUACGGGAGGCAGCAGUGGGGAAUAUUGGACAAUGGGGGAAACCCUGAUCCAGCGACGCCGCGUGUGUGAAGAAGGCCUGCGGGUUGUAAAGCACUUUUAGUGGGGAUGAAAUGUUCAGGGUUAACACCUCUGGAUUUUGACCUAACCCACAAGAAAAGCACCGGCUAACUCUGUGCCAGCCGCCGCU